GGCGACCUCGUCGCGGAACGCCGCGAAGGUGUCGCUGCGGCCGACGUCGAGGUGCAGGGCGGUGGCCUUGCCGCCGUUCUGCUCGAUCAGGUCGACG
RNAcentral lists this transfer RNA (97 nucleotides) under Lentzea sp. NBRC 102530. Its description in RNAcentral is "tRNA-Arg". The record is from RNAcentral. Lineage: Bacteria; Bacillati; Actinomycetota; Actinomycetes; Pseudonocardiales; Pseudonocardiaceae.